Molecule: ribosomal RNA, 327 nt
Filed under: uncultured eukaryote
Lineage: Eukaryota
Description: partial 18S ribosomal RNA
Rfam family: Eukaryotic small subunit ribosomal RNA
Source: RNAcentral
CCCUUAGAUGUUCUGGGCCGCACGCGCGCUACACUGACGAAUGCAACGAGCUUAUAACCUUGGCCGAAAGGUCUGGGUAAUCUCCAAAUUUCGUCGUGAUGGGGAUAGAUUAUUGCAAUUAUUAAUCAUCAACGAGGAAUGCCUAGUAAGCGCAAGUCAUCAGCUUGCGUUGAUUACGUCCCUGCCCUUUGUACACACCGCCCGUCGCUCCUACCGAUUGAAUGGUCCGGUGAAGCGUUCGGACCGUGGCCUUUGGACGGUUCGCCGUCUGUUGGCUGCGGGAAGUUCGUUAAACCUUAUCAUUUAGAGGAAGGAGAAGUCGUAACA